This is a non-coding RNA of Lactuca sativa (garden lettuce), 1775 nucleotides long. NCBI's taxonomy places the organism in Eukaryota, Viridiplantae, Streptophyta, Magnoliopsida, Asterales, Asteraceae. The record is from RefSeq and is a predicted model, not a curated record.
UUCCUUAACCAUGGUCACGCUUCAUCUGGAUCCUUCCUUGGAUUUCUGUAAUUCGAUCAUCACCGACUUCCUUCAUCUUAUCUCUUAUCUCCACCUAAUUUCUUCACUUCUGCAUCUUAUGAAGAAUUUAUUCUCUCACCUACCUCCCCUCUCCCCGUCUAUUGAACAUGGUGGUUUCAAAUUUCAUCGCCUUCGAUCACAUCGCUGCCACCGUGAAGCAAAAUCGAGACGAUUCAUCACACGUAUAGGUCAUCCUACGACGUUUCCGACAUGCCACUGUCGUCUCCAGCGUUUCCGACAUGCCAACACCAGCUCCACCACAUCCUCAUCAAAUGAUCUACGAUCGCGUUGCCAAAAAAAUCAAAGCGAAGCUCAAGCGACUCGAAAACUCCGACCCUAGGUUCCUCAAACACAACUCCCCUAACCAUACCCUAAUCAAUCACACGUCUAUCCUACGAGACGGCUACUGUUGGGGUGUGGAUCGAUUCACGGUAACAGUUUGAGAUGGAAGAGAACAACCGCAGCCACUCGACCAUGGUCCAUCAAUGGUGACAUCGUCGUCUACUCGACCAUUAUCGAUCAUCGACACAGUCUGACCUGUUUCUAUAAAGCAACAACCUGUACGAGUAGGUAGUAAUCGGAACUCAAGAAGGCAGACAGUAGGUCGGGAUUACAACAGGUGAAGCGGCAGCCUAACAUAAAUCAGGGGUGCAAUUGAAGAGCUGGAAUCAGAGCUUAGAUGAUCUACUUCCAAUUCAAAUCUCUCCUCCAUGGUAAACAAUUCUUAUCGGAUUUUUAACCUAUAAUGAUGAUAUACUUGGAUAUUUUACACAUAAUGGUAAUCUAAUUAUUGUUUGCUACCCAUAAUAACACUAUACUUAUAUUUUGAUUUCAAUCUUGCUUGCUCAUGUGGAUGGAAGCCAGUUGUAGGCCAGUGAUAAGGUAAACUGUUUCUAAAACCUAGUUGUAGGCCAGUGAUAAGGUAACUGUUUACUUUUAAUGUUGCUACAGUGAUUUGCUGAGCAUAGGAGGUCGCCACCUAAUAGACAAUAAAUGAAGAAAGGGGAUGGCAGGUUCAAAGACAGAGGAGGAAACCUCUUUUGUCGUCGCUCCUGCAGCUACUACUCAUAGAGACCCGUAUGAGGUUUUGAACGUUUCAAGAGAUUCCUCAGAUCAACAGAUUCAAUCUGCUUACAGAAAUCUCUCUCUCAAGUUAGUUUUAGUUUCUUUUCUUUCCUUCUUUCUUUCUUUCUGAUAUAUAUAUCUAUAAAGUGCUUUAAAUUAUGUAUUGUCUUUAAUAUCCAGUGUUGGUAUCAAUUUCCAUACGUAAUUGAUUUUUAAGUUUUCCAGUCCUUCAAACGGAUUUGCUUAAGGUUUCUAGUCUGUCAAUUGCCAACAGUGUGUGUACACAUUUGGUUCUAUGUACCAUGGUGCUGUUGGGCGGUAGUUCCAGGGCACCUCUGACUUUGGAAAAUCAAUCUUUUUAGAUGAAAACUUUGUUAAAGUUUUGGUAUGUGGUUUUAAUGGCCAUUUGUUGCUCUGUCUAUAUGGAAUUAGAGAUAUAUAGGUAUAGUUAGACAUAUUAUUAUGGGCAUACCAAAGCUCACUGAGACAGAUUAAAGCACAAACUAACAAGAGUUGGAAAUACUUGAGAGCAUUAAUAAAUACAAAUGUAUCUCCACUGCCUAAAUGAAACGAAACAGUUACAUAUUGAACAUUAAGAAAACAAGAAAUUUUAAGUAUUCUCUCUAAUUGAUUUUGUUGAUGUUGGUUUA